This 253-nucleotide unclassified non-coding RNA is filed under the name uncultured Bacillaceae bacterium. Its description in RNAcentral is "contains 16S-23S intergenic spacer region". It matches the Rfam family "Bacterial small subunit ribosomal RNA", at positions 524 to 776 of the family's 1533-position model. Lineage: Bacteria; Bacillati; Bacillota; Bacilli; Caryophanales; Bacillaceae. The record is from RNAcentral.
UACGUAGUUGGCAAGCGUGGUCCGGAAUUAUUUGGCGUAAAGCGCGCGCAGGCGGUCUCUUAAGUCUGAUGUGAAAGCCCACGGCUCAACCGUGGAGGGUCAUUGGAAACUGGGAGACUUGAGUGCAGAAGAGGAGAGUGGAAUUCCACGUGUAGCGGUGAAAUGCGUAGAUAUGUGGAGGAACACCAGUGGCGAAGGCGACUAUAUGGUCUGUAACUGACGCUUAGGCGCGAAAGCGUGGGGAGCAAACAGG